ACUGCUCAGUAACACGUGGACAACCUACCCUGAGGUCGGGGAUAAACCCGGGAAACUGGGUAUAAUACCCGAUAGAUCUAGAUCGCUGGAAUGCUUUUAGGUCUAAAGUUCCGACGCCUCAGGAUGGGUCUGCGGCCUAUCAGGGUAGUAGUGGGUGUAAAGUACCUACUAGCCCACGACGGGUACGGGUUGUGAGAGCAAGAGCCCGGAGAUGGAUUCUGAGACACGAAUCCAGGCCCUACGGGGUGCAGCAGGCGCGAAACCUUUACAAUGCUGGCAACAGCGAUAAGGGGACCUCGAGUGCUACGAUACAAUCGUGGCUGUCUAGUUGCCUAAAAAGCAAUUGAUAGCAAGGGCCGGGCAAGACCGGUGCCAGCCGCCGCGGUAACACCGGCGGCUCGAGUGGUAACCGCUAUUAUUGGGUCUAAAGGGUCUGUAGCCGGCUUAGUUAGUCUCUUGAGAAAUCUGGCCGCUCAACGGUCAGGCGUUCAGGGGAUACUGCUAAAGCUCGAGACCGGGAGAGGUGAGAGGUACUUCAGGGGUAGGGGUGAAAUCUUGUAAUCCUUGAAGGACCACCAGUGGCGAAGGCGUCUCACCAGAACGGAUCUGACGGCAAGGGACGAAAGCUAGGGGCACGAACCGGAUUAGAUACCCGGGUAGUCCUGGCCGUAAACGAUACUCGCUAGGUGUCGGCCACGGUGCGACCGUGGUCGGUGCCGUAGGGAAGCCGUGAAGCGAGCCACCUGGGAAGUACGGCCGCAAGGCUGAAACUUAAAGGAAUUGGCGGGGGAGCAC
Molecule: ribosomal RNA, 795 nt
Filed under: uncultured archaeon
Lineage: Archaea
Description: bacterial SSU rRNA
Rfam family: Archaeal small subunit ribosomal RNA
Source: RNAcentral